RNAcentral lists this ribosomal RNA (1021 nucleotides) under Dematiomelanomma yunnanense. RNAcentral's name for it is "SSU rRNA". It matches the Rfam family "Eukaryotic small subunit ribosomal RNA", at positions 74 to 1103 of the family's 1831-position model. Lineage: Eukaryota; Fungi; Ascomycota; Dothideomycetes; Pleosporales; Melanommataceae. The record is from RNAcentral.
UUAUACCGUGAAACUGCGAAUGGCUCAUUAAAUCAGUUAUCGUUUAUUUGAUAGUACCUUACCACUUGGAUAACCGUGGUAAUUCUAGAGCUAAUACAUGCUAAAAACCCCGACUUCGGAAGGGGUGUGUUUAUUAGAUAAAAAACCAAUGCCCUUCGGGGCUCUUUGGUGAUUCAUGAUAACCUAACGGAUCGCAUGGCCUUGCGCCGGCGACGGUUCAUUCAAAUUUCUGCCCUAUCAACUUUCGAUGGUAAGGUAUUGGCUUACCAUGGUUUCAACGGGUAACGGGGAAUUAGGGUUCGAUUCCGGAGAGGGAGCCUGAGAAACGGCUACCACAUCCAAGGAAGGCAGCAGGCGCGCAAAUUACCCAAUCCCGACACGGGGAGGUAGUGACAAUAAAUACUGAUACAGGGCUCUUUUGGGUCUUGUAAUUGGAAUGAGUACAAUUUAAACCCCUUAACGAGGAACAAUUGGAGGGCAAGUCUGGUGCCAGCAGCCGCGGUAAUUCCAGCUCCAAUAGCGUAUAUUAAAGUUGUUGCAGUUAAAAAGCUCGUAGUUGAAACUUGGGUCUGGCUAGCGGGUCCGCCUCACCGCGUGCACUUGUCCGGCUGGACCUUUCCUUCUGGAGAACCUCAUGCCCUUCACUGGGUGUGUUGGGGAACCAGGACUUUUACUUUGAAAAAAUUAGAGUGUUCAAAGCAGGCCUUUGCUCGAAUACGUUAGCAUGGAAUAAUAGAAUAGGACGUGCGGUCCUAUUUUGUUGGUUUCUAGGAUCGCCGUAAUGAUUAAUAGGGAUAGUCGGGGGCAUCAGUAUUCAAUUGUCAGAGGUGAAAUUCUUGGAUUUAUUGAAGACUAACUACUGCGAAAGCAUUUGCCAAGGAUGUUUUCAUUAAUCAGUGAACGAAAGUUAGGGGAUCGAAGACGAUCAGAUACCGUCGUAGUCUUAACCGUAAACUAUGCCGACUAGGGAUCGGGCGAUGUUUCUAUCUUGACUCGCUCGGCACCUUACGAGAAAUCAAAG